UUUCAGGAAGAGCUGCACUCUUAGCCAAUCAGAGAUCAGCUUGGAGGUAAAUAGGGAAGGAGAACGAGGAGCACCUGAUGAAGAAGAGAGGGGCGUGUGAAGCCAGCUGAGUGUGGAAAACUAAGUUCAUUGUCGAGGUGAUUAAUAUUUGUCAACUAAAAUACUUCUAAAGAACCAGCACAAAUAUUAUCUUGCAGAUAAAAACCGUGUGUAUCUCGCGGUUCAGUAACUCGUUUUUUCCGGGAAGUUUCAAAGCGGAAGUGCAGCCAGGUUAACAGCGUCUGUUGUUUUCCCACUAACUUUGUAAGAAGUGUAACUCGGAUUGUAAAACGUGAACGUUUAAGCUAGCAACGUCGUGAGGGGCAGUCAGCUGUACACGCCAGCCGAAUGUUUUCGCCGUGGACUGGAGGAAACGAGGACGCCGUUGUGAGCACCGCGUUGAUUAGCAUCUUUUGCUAAUGCUCGCGAGGACAGACUCGGCCACUGGACCUGCUUCAGGACACAAGACAUCUACCUGUGCGCCUCACCUGCUACUGCGUCAUCUACCUGCUCGUGGACUCUUCUGAACUGCGCCGAGGUGUGGGAUCCACAGUCCUCAGUGAUGAUCUAAUCCGUCCAGUUCCACAGUUUCCAUCGACCUCCGUGGGCUUGACAAGAUGGACGUCUGGCUGUGCGAGAUUACUGCUGACCAAUAUGAAAGAUUUAUCACUUCCUGUGUACCAUUUAUUUUAUUUUUUAUUUUCCAAAUAAACCACUCACAACGCCGGCUGUCUGCAGAAGUAUGUUGUAAAAGUGGCAGUAAAUUGGCUUAAGAGUGAAUCAUCGCUGUGUUACAUCAGUCACUGACAGGAGGAAACUGGGCAUUUAUUUACAUGAAGCAUUCGAAGAGGACUGCUUAAGGGUUUGUCGAGGUGGAAGAAUUGCAUUUGGUCUGUAUGCCACCGUUUGAACCUUAUUUUCAACAUUUACAUGAACUGGCGCUGCGGGGCAAAGGUGCAGGGGGACGUCAGGAUUACAGUGUCAGUGCGGAUGAUGAGCUUAUGACCACCAGGUAACAGACAGUGCAGUCAGCGAUGCACAAACAUGAGUGUGCACAACAUAAGACUGCAGAGGCAAAGCCGUGCAGCACCAAAACACUGAGUGAUUUCAAAGUCGCACCGUGUCGUCGUCGUCUCCCCCCCCCCCGUGAGAAGCCAGUCAUCCAGCGUGGAGCCAAGAGGCAAUCCUCCCGGGGCGGAACCAUAUCUGUGCUUUUCUCAUGUCCCAGACAAGAAUAUAUUUUCUUCUGCUACACACCGAAGGGGGGGGGGGUAGAGGUAGACAACACAUUCAACUCUGUCCCUUGAUGUGUACAGUGUAUAGUUGUGUGUGUGCAAGAGAAAAUGAAGAAGAAAAAACAAAGAGAGACGGAGACAUCAAGAGAGAGCCAGAGCACAUGUAUGUAGGAGUGCUUCUAUCUCAUGCUUGGCCCGGCUCCAUUGCUACUGGCUGUACAGUGUAAUUUCACUGCUUGUUUGAUUCGGCGCUGAAAAUUGUAAGCAGCUGACUCAUCUAUUAUUCCCUCUUUCUCCUCACUCUGCAAAUGGAUAAACCCUCUUCUUUUCCUUCAGCUGCAAAACUGCCUCUCUGUCAUUACCCAACCCUCUCCAUCUCUCUCUUCCUCUCUCUUGUCAUGGCAACAGUAUUCUCUCGUGUAGUAUUUGCUCUGCAGCACACGGCGAGUUCGCAUUGUCCCGCAGUCACCCGCGCCCACAUAUCAACAGGCAGGCCGGCUGUACUGUACUGAAAAAGUCAUUGUUAUGCAACCUAUGUUAUGUUGCCUGCUGCUCUGUCGGUCUGUCUGUUCAUCGCUCUCCACUUAUUCUUCACGUGUCUGCUUGCCUCCUCUGAGCUUGUUCUAGGUCACAUCCUAACAGCUUUGUCAGGCAUUGUCAAAAAAAAAAAAGCAUGCAUGUUUUAUAGAAAGACUUGUUCUAGUUUGGUGAAAAAGCAAAUUUAUGAGUCAUCUUUUGGUAUAACCGAGCAAGGCAUUUUGACAUUGAAUAGAUUGUUGACACAGAAGUCUGCGAUGAAAACCUGUGUGAAUAGAGCCUGAAAACCAGAGAUGUGACAUGCGCAGUCGUCCAAAGCUGCUGCAUGUUCUGUGAAAAUUGGAGCAAGAGUAAAUAAAUAUCUACAUGAUAUAAGUUCAGAACAGUUACAUGAAAGCUAUGACUAGAAAAAGCAUUUUUUCUAAAGUCUCCUGUAUUUAUUGUGAAGCUGUAAAGAGCUGUAUAUGACAGUGUACACACGUACUUGUGUGUCAGUAGGAGUGUGUGGGGUCCUCUGUUUUUCUGCAUAUGCAUAUUUAGUCACACUGAAAAAUGGUAAGCAGGUUAUGUGUGAGCCUGUGUGAGGCGGGAGUCGAGAGCCUCCUCUUUAUUUUGUGCCCCUGUCU
This is a long non-coding RNA of Seriola aureovittata, 2437 nucleotides long. RefSeq lists it as uncharacterized. The transcript has 3 exons. NCBI's taxonomy places the organism in Eukaryota, Metazoa, Chordata, Actinopteri, Carangiformes, Carangidae. The record is from RefSeq and is a predicted model, not a curated record.